GAGGCGGGUGGCGGUCAGGCAGCCCUCACGGCUCGGCCCGGGUUUGAGCUCUGCCCAGUCGAGCCUCGCCUCAGCAGCAGUACCCAGAAAUGCCAGCAACUCGACCCAAAAUGGCUGAGGCGGCUCGGUCUCAGGGCUGCCAGUGAAGGCUUAACGCGGUUAAGGGAAAAGCGAGGUGUUCGGCGUCACCGAGCUCGGGAGCUCCCCGGGCAGCCCCCAGGCACCGCAUCGUCCUGGCAAGAGCAGCUCCUCUACGGCCUCGCAGGCGCAGCAUAAGUAGGGGCUAUUUAAACUGUUAAUUCUACCAUGGAAAUCACUUCUCCUCCCAUUAGUCUGUUUCUGGCUCUACGCUUGUUCGCCCACCGAGUGAAUAAACCAGAAAGGUAACUGUAUCGUUCACUCGCCUGAACUUUUGAAAAGCUGUUUCCUAUAAAGCCAGAAUCCUGAAUACGAACACUCAUAGAGUGAAUAAACACGGUCUGAAGAAAGAAAGAAUUAAUGAAAAAUCUCUCUCCUAUUUGUUUUGAAUAAUUGCCAUCGGACCCCUAAUAUCUGGGAAGUUUUUUCUGUUUUGUGUAUGGAAGAGAUUUAAAGAAAAAGACAGGUUAGCUGAAGUCACCUUUGUGCACAGAAUGGGCAUUGUGGAAUAAACCAUCAGAAAAUUUAGUGUGGCACCCACUGCACCCUGGAAAGGCUAAAAUAGAGAGGAGCACCUAUGUGAGAGACACGAAGCUCUGACUUGCUAAGCCAUCCCCAAAUCACAGUGUUGGUCCUCUACUUUCGGUGUUGUGAACUCAUGCGGAAGGAGGACAGUACAGGUUAUCCCACUUCAAGGUACUGCAGAAUUGGAAGGAUGAAUCGUUAAGACUGUGGAAAGGUGCACAUCUGAGCAGAGAGUGGAAAAAACUUCACCUAAGAAAACAGACAAGGAGUUUGAAAGUAAGUGUCUAGAAAAAGUUGAGAAGAACAGCAAUUCUGGUUCUCCUGUUUUCAUAGCAUAAAAAACAAGGAGGCACUUAAUGACGUUAUAAUUUAGAAAAUUAAACACAGAUUGAAAGAGAUACUUUUUCAACCAAUGUAAUUGUAUGGUAGUUCACUACCAAAGAACAUGGGCCAGGAAACCUGCAAGAGCCAACAAAGCAUGCUUAGCAGAUACCAGAAAUGUUACUGCAUCAUUCACUCUCCAGAACUUUUGAAAAGCUGUUUUGUUUAAAGCUAGGACCCUGAAUUUAAACAUUUUCCGGAAGUCAAAAUGAGAUCUGCCAUUAAGGAAGAGUUCUCUCAAAUCUGUGUGGAUAAGAUAACUUGCUAUUGCUUGACCAGCAUCAAACAUCGGACUUGACAGACCCCAGUUCCCAUUGGGCACAAUCUGGAACUGUAAAACAACAUGCCUUACCAGCCUCAACACCCAUGUUACAAACGUGAGGAGGCAGCUGCAGGAGAGAGAUGCCCAUCUCCUGCUACCAUGCUGCUGAGGCUUCUGUAGAAAAGAAGAAAUAAAAGAAGAGUCAAAAGCUCUCAAGACUGAGUCUCAGGAUGGUUGGUGAUGGAAGACAUCUUUGGAGAUCAUCUUGCCCAGCCCCUCUGCCUAGAGCUGUGCCAACUACAGCAGGUUUCUCAAGGCCAUGGUCAGGCAACUUGGCGACAAGGAGCACUGAGCAGUGCCAGCGAUGGCUGGGACACAUGCUGAGGAGCUGGCUGGCUUCUAGCUCUCCGAGCUGCCAGAGGCACACACCAGGUUUCUCAUGGUGCACACUCCAGGGGAUGAGAUCCAGUUUCCAGAUGAUUGCAAUGUUUGCUGAUGACUGUCUUCAGUCAGCAAGCAUGAAUAAGAGAGCACAAAGUCUUGAUGUCCUGGAAUCGUCCCUGUGAGUCGGCCCAUGGAAAACUUUAGAUGGGGCACUAAGUUCUACGCACCAGAGAGGUCCAUCCAUUGCUACUGGCCAGCUGUGCACUUCUGUGUGAGGAUUCUGUGAGAGAAUUAAAUGAUGGGAGUAUGAAAGUGGCAUCGUCAAGGCCAAGUUAAC
Long non-coding RNA from Cygnus olor (mute swan), 2027 nucleotides. RefSeq lists it as uncharacterized. NCBI's taxonomy places the organism in Eukaryota, Metazoa, Chordata, Aves, Anseriformes, Anatidae. The transcript has 4 exons. The record is from RefSeq and is a predicted model, not a curated record.